AACAGUCUCCCGAGAAGCAGAAACCCAAAAACAAAGAAAGGGCUUAAGCAAAAAAAAAAAAGCGACGAGUACGACAACGAGAAAAGAGGAAGAAGAAGAAGAAAAUGGUGUCGUACAUGAGCUUGUUGCUGUACGGAGUGGGAGGGAUAGUGGUGGCGGGGAUGGCGUUGCUGGUGGCGUUUCAAGAGAAGCUCGUUUACGUUCCGGUUUUACCGGGUCUAACCAAGUCUUACCCGAUAACACCGGCCCGGCUCCGACUCAUCUACGAGGACGUUUGGCUCCGAUCCUCCGAUGGAGUCCGACUCCAUGCUUGGUUCAUCAAGCUCUUGCCUGACUGUCGAGGUCCAACCAUCCUGUUUUUCCAAGAGAAUGCUGGAAAUAUUGCUCAUCGUCUGGAAAUGGUUCGCAUAAUGUUACAGAGGUUGCAAUGCAAUGUCUUCAUGCUUUCAUAUCGAGGUUAUGGAGCAAGUGAUGGUUAUCCUUCUCAGCAUGGAAUUAUAAAUGAUGCUCAGGCUGCAUUGGAUCAUCUCUCUCAGCGGACUGAUAUUGACACAGAUAGAAUAAUAGUCUUUGGAAGAUCACUUGGGGGUGCUGUUGGAGCUGUACUCACCAAAAACAAUCCUGAUAAGGUUGCUGCACUGAUACUGGAAAACACUUUCACAUCUAUUUUGGACAUGGCUGGAGUAUUAUUGCCUUUCCUGAAGUGGUUUAUUGGAGGCCCUGGUACAAAAGGUCCUAAAAUUCUUAAUUUUCUUGUCCGCUCUCCAUGGAGCACCAUUGAUAUCAUUGGCCAGGUCAAGCAGCCUAUCCUUUUUCUUUCUGGUUUGCAAGAUGAGAUGGUUCCCUCAUCCCACAUGCAAAUGCUGUAUGCUAAAGCAGCAGCUCAUAACAGGCAAUGCCUCUUUGUAGAAUUCCCUACUGGCAUGCACAUGGACACUUGGCUAGCUGGUGGUGACCACUACUGGAGAACAAUUCGGCAGUUCUUUGAACAACAUGUGCCAGAGAAAAAGCAAAAUGAAUCCCCAAAUGGCUAUGCCCAACUAAGAAACAAACCAACCUAGGCUGGAUAAUCCUGCCAAAUCUUCGUCAAGCCUAUUCCAAAGUCCAUCUGGUGGACAGUCAUGAAAGUGGAUUCGAAAAGAUUUCGAGAGGAGGUGACUGGCUGGCAUGUAAGCUUUUGAGAAUUUAUUGUUUGGCUCACACCCUGGAUCUCAAACUUUGUGCCUUUUCUUUUGAAGCUGCAGCUGUUAGAAGCUCUUUAUAACCUGCUGCCUGCUCCCCUUGAUCUUUCUCUCCAAGAGUUUUUUGCUGGCAUACAAACAUAAGCUGAUCAAAAUGAUAAAGAAAAGGAAGCUGGAUGCCCCUUCAGUAUACCGUAUGACUUUGACAAACACACAAAAUACCAUAUUAAUUCUGACUGGUUCUCAUUGUAUGAAAUAAGAAGUCUCUUGAAAAAGGAAAUGCACAUGUAUGGUUGCUGCUGAUUUCCUGAACAAUAUGUAUCUCUAUUUUCCCAUGGGAGAGUAGAUGUUUCAGCAAUUGUUUGACAAUUUAGGUUUUUUUUUUGCAACUCUUCUAUUGUCUUAAUGGUAGUUUUGGACGGUUGGUAAGUCUUUGUAUGGAAUGUGGUCGAAACCAGAAACCUCUUCUUCGACUUU
This is a non-coding RNA of Theobroma umbraticum, 1658 nucleotides long. The record is from RefSeq and is a predicted model, not a curated record. NCBI's taxonomy places the organism in Eukaryota, Viridiplantae, Streptophyta, Magnoliopsida, Malvales, Malvaceae.